AUACCCAGUGGGAAAAUGGAGAAUGCAUUACAUUGAUAAUGAAUAAUUUCUUGCAUUAUAUGAUUUACAUUACAGAAUUUGUCUAAAAUAUUCGAGAAAAGAAUGCAAUUUGAGAAAAAAAUGAUUAUAACAUUAUUGUUAUGGAAUGCAUUAUAUUAUUCAUCCCAAUAGAAGCGAAAUGAAUUAAAUUCUCAAGAUUGAUACCAAACCAAAACUUUUAAAAUGUCUAUAAUAAAAAAACAAUUUGUGUCACCUCUUGCACCCCAGAACGCAAUACUUCAAACUGACGAAAAUAAAAAAUCAGAAUUGGCCCGAAUAGAAGAUAUUGAGAAAAACAUUAAAAUACUAAAUGAUAAAUUUGAUACAUGUAUAAAUGUACUGACCAAAAUUGAAAUAAAACUAGAUACUCUAUUGACACAGGAUGCGAAAAAAAUAUACUUUCCCAUACAAAAUGAGGCAGAUCUCCACAAAGUUGAGAAAAAAAUUGGGGAAGACUUCGCUUCGUUUGUAAGUAUUGAAUAAUAUUAAA
This is a long non-coding RNA of Musca vetustissima, 529 nucleotides long. RefSeq lists it as uncharacterized. The record is from RefSeq and is a predicted model, not a curated record. NCBI's taxonomy places the organism in Eukaryota, Metazoa, Arthropoda, Insecta, Diptera, Muscidae. The transcript is spliced from 4 exons.